CUACGGGUGGCUGCAGUGAGGAAUAUUGGUCAAUGGACGAAAGUCUGAACCAGCCAUGCCGCGUGCAGGAAGACGGCCCUACGGGUUGUAAACUGCUUUUGUAUAGGAAUAAACCCCCGCUCGUGAGCGGGGCUGAAGGUACUAUACGAAUAAGCACCGGCUAACUCCGUGCCAGCAGCCGCGGUAAUACGGAGGGUGCAAGCGUUAUCCGGAUUCAUUGGGUUUAAAGGGUGCGUAGGCGGGACAUUAAGUCAGUGGUGAAAUCUCUCAGCUCUACUGAGAAACUGCCAUUGAUACUGAUGUUCUUGAAUUUAGUUGAAGUAGGCGGAAUGAGGCAUGUAGCGGUGAAAUGCAUAGAUAUGCCUCAGAACACCGAUCGCGAAGGCAGCUUACUAAACUAACAUUGACGCUGAGGCACGAAAGCGUGGGGAGCAAACAGGAUUAGAUACCCCCGUAGUC
RNAcentral lists this ribosomal RNA (459 nucleotides) under uncultured bacterium. Its description in RNAcentral is "partial 16S ribosomal RNA". It matches the Rfam family "Bacterial small subunit ribosomal RNA", at positions 339 to 795 of the family's 1533-position model. The record is from RNAcentral.